UACGAAGGGGGCAAGCGUUGUUCGGAAUUACUGGGCGUAAAGGGCGCGUAGGCGGCAUUGUUAGUUAGGCGUGAAAGCCCUGGGCUCAACCUGGGAAUUGCGUUUAAUACUGCGGUGCUAGAGUAUAGGAGAGGUUGGUGGAAUAUCCAGUGUAGAGGUGAAAUUCGUAGAUAUUGGAUAGAACACCGGUGGCGAAGGCGGCCAACUGGACUAUUACUGACGCUGAGGCGCGAAAGCGUGGGGAGCAAACAGGAUUAGAUACCCUGGUAGUCCACGCUGUAAACGAUGUAUGCUAGCUGUUGGGACCCGUUGGGUUUCGGUGGCGCCGCUAACGCAUUAAGCAUACCGCCUGGGGAGUACGGUCGCAAGAUUAAA
RNAcentral lists this ribosomal RNA (375 nucleotides) under uncultured bacterium. Its description in RNAcentral is "bacterial SSU rRNA". It matches the Rfam family "Bacterial small subunit ribosomal RNA", at positions 524 to 898 of the family's 1533-position model. The record is from RNAcentral.